This 492-nucleotide ribosomal RNA is filed under the name uncultured bacterium. RNAcentral's name for it is "partial 16S ribosomal RNA". It matches the Rfam family "Bacterial small subunit ribosomal RNA", at positions 29 to 507 of the family's 1533-position model. The record is from RNAcentral.
AGUGAACGCUGGCGGUAGGCCUAACACAUGCAAGUCGAACGGCAGCACAGUAAGAGCUUGCUCUUACGGGUGGCGAGUGGCGGACGGGUGAGGAAUACAUCGGAAUCUACUUUUUCGUGGGGGAUAACGUAGGGAAACUUACGCUAAUACCGCAUACGACCUACGGGUGAAAGCAGGGGAUCUUCGGACCUUGCGCGAUUGAAUGAGCCGAUGUCGGAUUAGCUAGUUGGCGGGGUAAAGGCCCACCAAGGCGACGAUCCGUAGCUGGUCUGAGAGGAUGAUCAGCCACACUGGAACUGAGACACGGUCCAGACUCCUACGGGAGGCAGCAGUGGGGAAUAUUGGACAAUGGGCGCAAGCCUGAUCCAGCUAUACCGCGUGGGUGAAGAAGGCCUUCGGGUUGUAAAGCCCUUUUGUUGGGAAUGAAAAGCAGCAGGUUAAUACCCCGCUGUUCUGACGGUACCCAAAGAAUAAGCACCGGCUAACUUCGUG